AGAGUUUGAUCAUGGCUCAGAGCGAACGCUGGCGGCAGGCCUAACACAUGCAAGUCGAACGGAUCCUUCGGGAUUAGUGGCGGACGGGUGAGUAACACGUGGGAACGUGCCUUUUGGUUCGGAACAACUCAGGGAAACUUGAGCUAAUACCGAAUGUGCCCUUCGGGGGAAAGAUUUAUCGCCAUUAGAGCGGCCCGCGUCUGAUUAGCUAGUUGGUAGGGUAAAGGCCUACCAAGGCUACGAUCAGUAGCUGGUCUGAGAGGAUGAUCAGCCACAUUGGGACUGAGACACGGCCCAAACUCCUACGGGAGGCAGCAGUGGGGAAUCUUGCGCAAUGGGCGAAAGCCUGACGCAGCCAUGCCGCGUGAAUGAUGAAGGUCUUAGGAUUGUAAAAUUCUUUCACCGGGGAAGAUAAUGACUGUACCCGGAGAAGAAGCUCCGGCUAACUUCGUGCCAGCAGCCGCGGUAAUACGAAGGGGGCUAGCGUUGCUCGGAAUUACUGGGCGUAAAGGGAGCGUAGGCGGACAGUUAAGUCAGUGGUGAAAGCCCAGAGCUCAACUCUGGAAUUGCCUUUGAUACUGAUUGUCUUGAGUAUGGGAGAGGUAUGCGGAACUCCGAGUGUAGAGGUGAAAUUCGUAGAUAUUCGGAAGAACACCAGUGGCGAAGGCGGCAUACUGGCCCAUUACUGACGCUGAGGCUCGAAAGCGUGGGGAGCAAACAGGAUUAGAUACCCCGGUAGUCC
Molecule: ribosomal RNA, 742 nt
Filed under: uncultured bacterium
Lineage: Bacteria
Description: bacterial SSU rRNA
Rfam family: Bacterial small subunit ribosomal RNA
Source: RNAcentral